AUACGGAGGUGGCAAGCGUUGUUCGGAUUUAUUGGGUGUAAAGGGUACGUAGGUGGUUAGAUAAGUCGAGCGUGAAAUCCAUUGGCUCAACCAAUGAACUGCACUCGAAACUGUUUAACUUGAGUUCAGGAGAGGAAAGCGGAAUUCCAGGUGUAAGAGUGAAAUCUGUAGAGAUCUGGAGGAACACCAGUGGCGAAGGCGGCUUUCUGGACUGACACUGACACUGAAAUACGAAAGCUAGGGGAGCAAACAGGAUUAGAAACCCUAGUAGUCC
This 274-nucleotide ribosomal RNA is filed under the name uncultured bacterium. Its description in RNAcentral is "partial 16S ribosomal RNA". It matches the Rfam family "Bacterial small subunit ribosomal RNA", at positions 523 to 796 of the family's 1533-position model. The record is from RNAcentral.